RNAcentral lists this ribosomal RNA (1035 nucleotides) under uncultured organism. RNAcentral describes it as "bacterial SSU rRNA". It matches the Rfam family "Bacterial small subunit ribosomal RNA", at positions 268 to 1309 of the family's 1533-position model. The record is from RNAcentral.
CCAAUGGUACGAUGGGUAGCUGGUCUGACAGGACGAUCAGCCACGCUGUGACUGAGACACUGCCCAGACUCCUACGGGAGGCAGCAGUGGGGAAUCUUGCGCAAUGGGCGAAAGCCUGACGCAUCCACGCCGUGUGAGUGAUGAAGGCCCUAGGGUUGUAAAGCUCUGUCGGGAGGGAAGAAGCUCUGACGGUACCUCCCAAGAAAGCACCGGCUAUCUCCGUGCCAGCAGCCGGUGUAAUACGGAGGGUGCAAGCGUAGCUCGGAAUCACUGGGCGUAAAGCGGACGCAGGCGGCCUGUCAUGUCGGGUGUGAAAGCCCGGGGCUCAACCCCGGAAAUGCACUCGAAACCGGCGGUCACGAAUACGGGAGAGGGAAGCGGAAUUCCUGGUGUAGAGGUGAAAUUCGUAGAUAUCAGGAGGAACACCGGUGGCGAAAGCGGCUUCCUGGCCCGAUAUUGACGCUGAGGUCCGAAAGCGUGGGUAGCAAACAGGAUUAGAUACCCUGGUAGUCCACGCCGUAAACGAUGAGUGCUAGCUGGUGGGUGUGUCUACCCGCUUACCGGCGCAGUUAACGCAUUAAGCACUCCGCCUGGGAAGUACGGCCGCAAGGCUCAAACUCAAAGGAAUUGACGGGGGCCAGCACAAGCGGUGGAGCAUGUGGUUUAAUUCGAUGCAAAGCGAAGAACCUUACCCAGGCUUGACAUCCUCGGAAGCCUUCCGAAAGGAGGGUGUGCCUUCGCAAGAAGGAGCCGAGUGACAGGUGCUGCAUGGCUGUCGUCAGCUCGUGCCGUGAGGUGUUCGGUUAAGUCCGGCAACGAGCGCAACCCCUGUCGUCAGUUGCCAUCAUUCAAUUGGGCACUCUGGCGAGACAGCCGCGUGACAAACCGGCGAGGAAGGUGGGGACGACGUCAAGUCAUCAUGGCCCUUACGUCUGGGGCUACACACGUGCUACAAUGGCUAUCUACAGAGGGCAGCGAGACCGCAAGGUGGAGCAAAUCCCACAAAAGAUGCCUCAGUUCGGAUUGGAGUCUGCA